GACGAACGCUGGCGGCGUGCUUAACACACGCAAGUCGAACGGAAAGGCCCUGCUUUUGUGGGGUGCUCGAGUGGCGAACGGGUGAGUAACACGUGAGUAACCUGCCCUUAACUUUGGGAUAACUUCAGGAAACUGGGGCUAAUACCGGAUAGGAGCUCCUGCUGCAUGGUGGGGGUUGGAAAGUUUCGGCGGUUGGGGAUGGACUCGCGGCUUAUCAGCUUGUUGGUGGGGUAGUGGCUUACCAAGGCUUUGACGGGUAGCCGGCCUGAGAGGGUGACCGGCCACAUUGGGACUGAGAUACGGCCCAGACUCCUACGGGAGGCAGCAGUGGGGAAUAUUGCACAAUGGGCGGAAGCCUGAUGCAGCAACGCCGCGUGCGGGAUGACGGCCUUCGGGUUGUAAACCGCUUUCGCCUGUGACGAAGCGUGAGUGACGGUAAUGGGUAAAGAAGCACCGGCUAACUACGUG
This 468-nucleotide ribosomal RNA is filed under the name uncultured bacterium. Its description in RNAcentral is "partial 16S ribosomal RNA". It matches the Rfam family "Bacterial small subunit ribosomal RNA", at positions 28 to 507 of the family's 1533-position model. The record is from RNAcentral.